This 452-nucleotide ribosomal RNA is filed under the name uncultured Thiobacillus sp. RNAcentral's name for it is "bacterial SSU rRNA". It matches the Rfam family "Bacterial small subunit ribosomal RNA", at positions 924 to 1382 of the family's 1533-position model. Lineage: Bacteria; Pseudomonadati; Pseudomonadota; Betaproteobacteria; Nitrosomonadales; Thiobacillaceae. The record is from RNAcentral.
CACAAGCGGUGGAUGAUGUGGAUUAAUUCGAUGCAACGCGAAGAACCUUACUACCCUUGACAUGUCCGGAACUUGCCAGAGAUGGCUUGGUGCCCGAAAGGGAAUCGGAACACAGGUGCUGCAUGGCUGUCGUCAGCUCGUGUCGUGAGAUGUUGGGUUAAGUCCCGCAACGAGCGCAACCCUUAUCAUUAGUUGCUACGCAAGGGCACUCUAAUGAGACUGCCGGUGACAAACCGGAGGAAGUGGGGAUGACGUCAAGUCCUCAUGGCCCUUAUGGGUAGGGCUUCACACGUCAUACAAUGGUCGGUACAGAGGGUUGCCAAGCCGCGAGGCGGAGCCAAUCCCACAAAGCCGAUCGUAGUCCGGAUUGUUCUCUGCAACUCGAGAGCAUGAAGUCGGAAUCGCUAGUAAUCGCAGGUCAGCAUACUGCGGUGAAUACGUUCCCGGGUCUU